AUGGCUGCAGAUGGUGCCGCCGCCAUUGAGAUUCUUCGGGCGGAGCUAGCCCGGGCCAAGGAGCAGGCCCGAUUUAUUAAUGCGGCUGCCGAAAAGGCAUCGGCCGAGUUAAAGGCCGAACAGGCUGCUCGGCGCCAAGACGAGGAGAAAAUAUCCACGAUGGCGCUUGAACUAAAAAAUGCCGCUAGCCGCUGUGAAUUCCCCGAGAAGGAGAAUAAAGCCAAGACGACUGAUCUUGACAAGGCCUUGCGAGAGGCGAAAGAAGCGCGGUCUGAAUCCAGAGCGGCCCGUGAGGAGGUCCGACAAACUGGGGAGAUUGCGGCUGGUAAGCCCUUUUUAUUACAGACUAAGUUCGGCGAUCCAAAUUAUGCUUGGCUUAACCAAGUGUGGAGCUCUCCAGACGUGUUUUUGGACUUGCCGAAGAGCUCUUCUGAUGCGGCGCAGUUUUACCAAGUGCAAGAGGGAUAUGCAACGGAGAAGCUUUUCUGGUCACAGUUUAGUGCAUCAAAACGCCCUAUGUUGCUGAAUGAACAGAUGUCCCAAUGGGCCGAGCUUCAUAGGAUAUCCGGCGCUACCAUGAAGAACGUCAUAAUCCAGCUAUGGCCGACUGAGCCUAUUCCGAAUAGCUACUUUGGCUUGGUGCAGCGGCUUGCUGAUGCGGUGCCACGUAUCGACGCCGUUAAGCAGUCGGCGUGCAUUGAAGGUGCACGGAUGGCCUUUGCCCAUGUCAAGACAUACUGGGGGAAGAUGAAGGCCAUCGAUGUUGCGGUGAAGGGUCCACCCAAGGGCAAGGACCAUCACACACCAGAGAAUUAUUUUGAGGACGUCUUAGAGGCUGCCCGCUUGAUAGAGGGUCAACGUUCGAAAGACAUAAUAUUCGAGUGA
This 885-nucleotide ribosomal RNA is filed under the name Triticum aestivum (bread wheat). RNAcentral's name for it is "partial small subunit ribosomal RNA". Lineage: Eukaryota; Viridiplantae; Streptophyta; Magnoliopsida; Poales; Poaceae. The record is from RNAcentral.